UACGUAGGGUGCAAGCGUUGUCCGGAAUUAUUGGGCGUAAAGAGCUCGUAGGCGGUUUGUUGCGUCGGCUGUGAAAUCCCGAGGCUCAACCUCGGGUCUGCAGUCGAUACGAGCAAACUAGAGUGUUGCAGGGGAGACUGGAAUUCCCUGGUGUAGCGGUGAAAUGCGCAGAUAUCAGGAGGAACACCGGUGGCGAAGGCGGGUC
This 205-nucleotide ribosomal RNA is filed under the name uncultured bacterium. RNAcentral's name for it is "partial 16S ribosomal RNA". It matches the Rfam family "Bacterial small subunit ribosomal RNA", at positions 524 to 727 of the family's 1533-position model. The record is from RNAcentral.